GUGCUCGCUUCGGCAGCACAUAUACUAAAAUUGGGACUAUACAGAGAAGAUUAGCAUGGCCCCUUCGCAAGGAUGACACGCAAAUUCAUGAAGCGUUCCAUAUUUUU
Molecule: small nuclear RNA, 107 nt
Filed under: Urocitellus parryii (Arctic ground squirrel)
Lineage: Eukaryota; Metazoa; Chordata; Mammalia; Rodentia; Sciuridae
Source: RNAcentral